CAAAUGCGAUACGCAAUGCGAAUUGCAGAAUUCCGCGAGUCAUCAGAUCUUUGAACGCAAGUGGCGCUGGGUUAACCACUACCCCAGCAUGUUUGUUUCAGUGCGUUAGGAAUCAUAAAUCUUAAUGCGAUUGAAUUUUAACAAAAAAUUCUCUCGUUAAACAUGAAAGCGCUGAAUUCGUUUCAGUGCCAACCGAAGUAGUCACUUCUUCUUUCUUUAGAAAGUGAUCUCGGUUGUGCUAUAACUGAAGAUUUCACUUAAAGCGUUUUUUUUAUAUUUAUUAAAAUUGCUCCAAUCAACACCUGAAAUCAAGCAAGAUCACCCGCUGAACUUAA
This 335-nucleotide unclassified non-coding RNA is filed under the name uncultured Ophiostomataceae. RNAcentral's name for it is "sequence contains ITS1". The stretch from base 1 to 106 matches the Rfam family "5.8S ribosomal RNA", at positions 50 to 154 of the family's 154-position model. The record is from RNAcentral. Lineage: Eukaryota; Fungi; Ascomycota; Sordariomycetes; Ophiostomatales.